CUCUUCUCUCAUCAAACCAAUUGGUUUAGAUGAGAGCAUCUCUCUUUCUCUUUGGUGUACCAUCUUUAUCCAUUGCAGCCACGAUCUCCCCCUUUCUCACAUUCUUCAUCAGAAACCCCUUUUUUCUAUUUUCAUUUUGAUCAUCACCACUACCAAACGUGAUCGCCAAAACCAGUCUUCUCUGUGUGUGUGUGUGUGUGUGUCUCUCUCUCUCUCUUUGUGAUUUGCAUCACCACCACCAGCGUUGAUCACCAAUCUUCGAGUUCAAUGAAACUCCAGUGUUUAACCGAGCACCACUGUUUAGACUUUGAUGGAGCUCGAUUGAUCUGGGAAUGAGCCCUAGAAGUCGAUGAAGAAGAAGCCCUAGAGGUUGAUGGAGGUUGAGAUAAACAACAAGUUCAUCAAUCAUGGUAUAAUCCAGAUGUACACACACCACCUCAAACCUUUCUGGAUUUCCAAACCUUCUACACUGUUUCACAAAUAAUAGUGUUGAUGAUGAGUGAAUUAGAUAUGCCUGCAAUCUACCAAUCUAUAGGAACAAAACUUGCAACAACCUGCAGCAAAACUUGGGUUGGCUUGGACUCUAGUGAGCAAUUGGUUACCAAACAGAGUUCUUCGUUACUCUCCUCUUCUGCGUUGGUGGCAGAGGCUCGUGCUUGCUAGAGUGCUGUGAGAUGGUGUUUCCUCAGUGGCGUGAAAUCCAUUACGGUGCUUACUGACAGUCAAAACUUAGUCUGGUAGCUCAAUGGUUUUCACAGAGCUAGUUGGGAUAUUGUUGACAUUGUUGAUGAUAUUAAAAGUAUGUCUAGGUGUUUUGAUUUUCUUAGUAUUGUUAAGGUACCACGUUUGUUUGUUACUGCUGCCCAUUUGGAAGCAAAGGCAGUAGUCUUAUAGUGUAAUCCUAACUGUGUAACUUUUUAUUUUUGUUUAAUAUAUUGCUAUUAAGUUCCUCAAAUAUAUAUAUAUAUAUAUAUAAACAUAUUUAUGGAAAAUAUUGGAUUCAAAGAUCUCAACUCUUUGCCAUAGUUCACAGAUCUAUUAACUUAGAUUUAAGUUAUGUCCUUUCGUAAAGACAAUUCAGUGAGGAGCCAAUUUUCCAUCCAAAAAAAAAAAAGAAAAUUAUACUGUAAUUUAGAGCUUCUCCAUUGCAUUAGAGG
Non-coding RNA from Camellia sinensis, 1157 nucleotides. NCBI's taxonomy places the organism in Eukaryota, Viridiplantae, Streptophyta, Magnoliopsida, Ericales, Theaceae. The record is from RefSeq and is a predicted model, not a curated record.